Molecule: ribosomal RNA, 467 nt
Filed under: uncultured Clostridiaceae bacterium
Lineage: Bacteria; Bacillati; Bacillota; Clostridia; Eubacteriales; Clostridiaceae
Description: bacterial SSU rRNA
Rfam family: Bacterial small subunit ribosomal RNA
Source: RNAcentral
AGGCUUUGAUCCUGGCUCAGGAUGAACGCUGGCGGCGUGCCUAACACAUGCAAGUCGAGCGAUUCUUUUCGGAGAAGAGCGGCGGACGGGUGAGUAACGCGUGGGUAACCUGCCCUGUACACACGGAUAACAUACCGAAAGGUAUGCUAAUACGGGAUAACAUAUUUUGAUGGCAUCAUCGAAAUAUCAAAGCUCCGGCGGUACAGGAUGGACCCGCGUCUGAUUAGCUAGUUGGUGAGGUAAUGGCUCACCAAGGCGACGAUCAGUAGCCGACCUGAGAGGGUGAUCGGCCACAUUGGAACUGAGACACGGUCCAAACUCCUACGGGAGGCAGCAGUGGGGAAUAUUGCACAAUGGGCGAAAGCCUGAUGCAGCAACGCCGCGUGAGCGAUGAAGGCCUUCGGGUCGUAAAGCUCUGUCCUCAAGGAAGAUAAUGACGGUACUUGAGGAGGAAGCCCCGGCUAAUA